RNAcentral lists this ribosomal RNA (253 nucleotides) under uncultured bacterium. Its description in RNAcentral is "partial 16S ribosomal RNA". It matches the Rfam family "Bacterial small subunit ribosomal RNA", at positions 524 to 776 of the family's 1533-position model. The record is from RNAcentral.
UACGAAGGGUGCAAGCGUUAAUCGGAAUUACUGGGCGUAAAGCGUGCGCAGGCGGUUUUGUAAGUCUGUCGUGAAAGCCCCGGGCUCAACCUGGGAAUUGCGAUGGAGACUGCAAGGCUUGAAUCUGGCAGAGGGGGGUAGAAUUCCACGUGUAGCAGUGAAAUGCGUAGAGAUAUGGAGGAACACCGAUGGCGAAGGCAGCCCCCUGGGUCAAGAUUGACGCUUAUGCACGAAAGCGUGGGGAGCAAACAGG